This 497-nucleotide ribosomal RNA is filed under the name uncultured bacterium. RNAcentral's name for it is "partial 16S ribosomal RNA". It matches the Rfam family "Bacterial small subunit ribosomal RNA", at positions 28 to 507 of the family's 1533-position model. The record is from RNAcentral.
GAUGAACGCUGGCGGCGUGCCUAAUACAUGCAAGUCGAGCGAACAGACGAGGAGCUUGCUCCUCUGACGUUAGCGGCGGACGGGUGAGUAACACGUGGAUAACCUACCUAUAAGACUGGGAUAACUUCGGGAAACCGGAGCUAAUACCGGAUAAUAUAUUGAACCGCAUGGUUCAAUAGUGAAAGACGGUUUUGCUGUCACUUAUAGAUGGAUCCGCGCCGCAUUAGCUAGUUGGUAAGGUAACGGCUUACCAAGGCAACGAUGCGUAGCCGACCUGAGAGGGUGAUCGGCCACACUGGAACUGAGACACGGUCCAGACUCCUACGGGAGGCAGAAGUAGGGAAUCUUCCGCAAUGGGCGAAAGCCUGACGGAGCAACGCCGCGUGAGUGAUGAAGGUCUUCGGAUCGUAAAACUCUGUUAUUAGGGAAGAACAAAUGUGUAAGUAAAUAUGCACGUCUUGACGGUACCUAAUCAGAAAGCCACGGCUAACUACGUG